Long non-coding RNA from Passer montanus (Eurasian tree sparrow), 873 nucleotides. RefSeq lists it as uncharacterized. The record is from RefSeq and is a predicted model, not a curated record. Lineage: Eukaryota; Metazoa; Chordata; Aves; Passeriformes; Passeridae. The transcript has 2 exons.
GCCCUCACUCACUCCCCCGCCUGACGGGGAAUGUAAGGGAACAGCUCCCCCGCGGCCAUGACACCCGCCCGCGCCUCCCGAUGACGUCAUCCCCACGCGACACCGACGCCGGAUCCCCACCCGGUGCUGCACCCCGGCAGCGCUGCGGGACGGCGACAACCACCCUGCAGUGUCCGUGAGGAGACAACAGGGGUGGAGCCGCCCCGCCGAACCGGGCAGAAGCCGCUGGCAGGCACCGCUCCGCAGUCGCGCCGCUGAGACUACAACUCCCGGCGUGCCCCGGGGCAGCGGCGCAUGGAGCGCGCUGAUUGGCCCGCGGGGGUGCGGGGGGGCAGCGCAGCGCGGGCGCCCCCAUGUGGCGGCUCGGCCGGGCCGGGACCCCCCCGGGAUAGCCCGGGACAAACCAGGACAAACCGGGAUAACCCGGGACAAACCGGAACAGCUCGGCUGCCUCCCGCUCCCGUGCCACGGGCCUCGCCCGGGCUGCCUGAAGGGACCCCGUGCUGAGUGUGGUGGCUGGCAACGGGGCCAGAUGACGGUGAGCGGGAGGAGCUCUGGGACACAGCAGGGAGAUUCCUCCCUUCCCAGGCAGCCUCUGGCAGGCAGGUGAGGUGGAAGUGUCACUUGGAAGGGUGCUGGGAGCUUCUUCAGCGACCAACUUCCAAUAGUGUCCUGUUUGUUGACUGUAAUCUUAGUGCUGGAACACGAUGGGAAUGUUAACAAAAUUCCCGUAAUCUUCAUGGAGAGAGCUGUAAAGGACAGCAUCCCUCAAAGUGCAACAGAACUGAAAUUGCAGCUGAUUAACCUUUGAUUUAUUUCCUGGUUUAUGGUAUAACACAAGUUUUUUCAGGUGAAAUAAAGAUGCUUUUUUAA